UUAACAUAAACAACAUCACUGCAGGUGGAAGAAAAAAAAAACACAAAUCCCGCAGACUACGCAUAUCGACUAAGCUUUGUUGGAAAGUCGCAGCGGCAUCGAAACUUUGGAUUAUUUCCAGCCUCGGUGAAUUGAAUUUACCUUUCACGAUGAGCCGAAGCGGGCCUGUUUUUGGUAUUAUAUAAUAAUACUUUUACCUCAGGUACGUCAAUGUAAACAUUUUCUUUCAGUAUAAUGCUUACGGUAAUUUUAUUCACUGAAUAUAAAUCACCCCGGACUAUGCCAAAUGAUCUGUGUGCCUGCGCCACCAUGGCUUAACUCGUGAUUAAUACUCUGCUGUGUGUGUGAACUCAAGAUAAAUGACCCUGCAAUUUCACCUGCAUCAAUAAUCGAUAUAUUAUCUCGCGGCGGCGGCACCCUUCUUUUUCCCUGUCGUGCAGGGGUCGAGACCCGUGUCGGACCCUAAGCAAAAAGCCAAGCGCAGCCGCAUCAACACGGCACCUAUACGUGAGACGAGCAUCUAUAGACGCGUAAACAGGUGCUGGAUGUUGCUGCCGUCCGAGAUCAAUACGCAAACAAG
This is a long non-coding RNA of Daphnia carinata, 580 nucleotides long. RefSeq lists it as uncharacterized. The transcript is spliced from 2 exons. The record is from RefSeq and is a predicted model, not a curated record. Lineage: Eukaryota; Metazoa; Arthropoda; Branchiopoda; Diplostraca; Daphniidae.